UGAAACAAAAUUUACUCUUGUUGGUUCACCUGUUGGAUUGGAGGUGAAGAAGCUAAAGGUAGUACUUGUGAAGAGCUUGAUGAGUGUUGUACAUGAUGCUGAUCAUGUUGUACCUCUCUGUUCUUAGGGAAAAUGAGUGUAAUGAAUGGACCACUAUUCUCCUCAUUAUCUUUACACAUCUUUGAACUUGAUGAAACUUCAAGAUUUUGAUCAAAUCUUCUACAAAACUUGUCUUCUGCAUCCC
RNAcentral lists this long non-coding RNA (244 nucleotides) under Solanum tuberosum (potato). Its description in RNAcentral is "long non-coding RNA (STUB_LNC006008)". The record is from RNAcentral. Lineage: Eukaryota; Viridiplantae; Streptophyta; Magnoliopsida; Solanales; Solanaceae.